Molecule: non-coding RNA, 115 nt
Organism: Acanthosepion pharaonis
Lineage: Eukaryota; Metazoa; Mollusca; Cephalopoda; Sepiida; Sepiidae
Source: the annotation of a GenBank genome assembly
CUUGCGGCCAUAUCACGUUGAAACACCGGUUCACGUACGAUCACCGAAAUUAAGCAACAUCAAGCCUGGUCAGUGCCGAGUUGGGUGACCGUUUGGGAAUACCAAGUGCUGUAAG